CCCCAUUCCCCUCCCCCUCCUCGCCCUCGGCCAACCAACGGUCGCCCCGGCCGCUCGCCCGCCUCCCAGGACAGCCCGCGGUGGGUUUCGCGUCUCCGUGGAGACCAACCAAGCGCAGGAGCCAGGAUGGAGCCGGAAGGAGCCCAGGUGCCGAGCAGCGGAGAGGCCGCCCAGAGCAGCACGGAGGAGCCCCGCGGGAGCCCGGCGGAGACGGCCCCGUGUCCCGUGGAGAUGCCGCCGGAGCCCGAGGCAGAGCCGCAGGCCGGAGCCACGGUCCCGGUGGAGCUACCGCCCUGUCACGGCGUGCCGGGGCCCUACCUGGGGGGGCUGCCGGCCGUCGAUCUGCAGCCGCUCCCGCUCUGCGUCCCGGAGCCGCCGAGGGAGCCGCCCACCCGCGGCCAGUGCCUGAUGCACAACUGGCAGGAAGAGAGAGCCACCAACGAUUUGGACCUUGUGCCAAGACCCGAGUGUGGCACCGAGGGGUCCUUCCACCGGCACGGGCAUCCUGGCCUCCUCACCCUUGACUUCCUAGCCGGCAUGCCCACGACCACCACCAUGAAGGACUCCUACCCUCGUCCCGUGAAGACAGGGCUCCCUGUGCGAGGGAAGUGAGAGGCCAUGAUGGAGCAUCUUCUGUACCAGAAACACAGAGCCACUUGCCCCGUUGCAGAUCAAACCUUGACCCAGAGAUAGAGGACCCUGGGGGUACUCAAGGCCACAGAGCUGCAGAAGACAAGAAGACCUCCACCUUAGCCGUUCUGAGCACUGUGCUUCUGUGUCAGAUUGCUGGGCAUGCAGGGUGGAUGCCAUGGCACAAACCAGCAAGGGCUGUGCCAGCCCUUUGCACAACCUUUCCCUGUGCCAGAGGGGAGAUCCUGCCCCUCGGCUGCGGUGUUUGGACAACAAAGGAGGCAGCCAAGUUAGAACUUGGCAUACAGCCCCAUGACUACCAGCUGGAACAACUGCAGACAUUCUGGCUCGAACAUGCCCAGCAGGUGCCGGGCACCUCCAGCAUCCAGACUGGUGACACCCCUUUCAGGAAGUGUGCAACUUUCACAACUCCCAUGUCCAAAUACCUUGACCAACUACCCCAAGCUGUGAACGCUAUCUUGCCACUAUCUGGGCUGGUUGGGAAAAACCAAGCUUAUGCAGGUGGGGGGGAUGCAGAGUCCCCUCCUCAAAGUGUUGAUUUCCCUGUUAAAUUCCUGCAAGAGCUGAAGGCCCAACCGCCAGAGUCAUUUCCAGGAAGCUUCCUUACAGUUCCCCUGCCACAAAAGCAGCCGGGGCUGGGCAGAGCCGUUUGCCAUCCUUUCUCUUGCUAAAUGGAAGGGGAGGGGGCUAUUCUCCCCUCCCCUUUCUGUUUGGACAAGACUGCUUGCCUGAUUCCGGGAUUUGCAACCAGAGGGGGAAAAUGAGCAGCAGGGCUGGAAGACUGGCUCAGCCUGCUGAGCCAAGGGGUGGGGGUGCAUCGAUUGGGACCAGGAGCCCCAGCUGGGCAAAGGGCUUUUGUGAUUGCCUCAGCAGGUGGGUUCCCAAGUGCCUGCUGCCUGGCUGUUGCUGACUGGGCAGGGAAGACCCCUUGAUGUCUGGGGCAACUAGAGCCCCCCUCCCCACCUCCAGGCAUAGCCGCUGCCUCCCUCAGGCAAAGCCAUCCUUGCCUGCAGGCUGGCCGCCUCUCACCCUCCCUCGCUGUUCCAAGGCAGAGUGAAUCCCCCGCAAGUUCAUGGGAGCAGUUGCUGCUGCCGGGUCCCUGCAGAGGGAGGGCCCCCCUCAGAUGAUGGGGGUCCCCUCAGAUGACAGCUGUCUUCUCUUCGCCCAGCAGCCAAUAGGUCCUCAUCUUCCCUUUGCCCUGCCAGAAAGCAGACAGGUGAAGCGCUCUUGCCCCCUUUCUUGCAAUGCAGCCCCCCCCAAGCAGUGAAAGUGAGAGGCACACCUCCACUUUGCACUCCUUCCCCUUCCCCCCCCCCAUGCAAGGCCCAGCCUGUUCCUUCCCAUGCCCGCCUUCAUCUCUACGUCCCCCUGGAGCUCCAGCAGAAAGCAGCCAAACUCAUCCAGGAUCUCCUUGGCAGAGAUGUGGAUCUUCAAGGCUGGAAGGAACAGGGGCAGGAGAGUGAGUGCCCCCCAGGAUCCCCUGCCAAAGGGGCCCAGUGGCAUACUUGGGA
RNA transcript from Crotalus tigris (Tiger rattlesnake), 2162 nucleotides. It is a transcript of the gene named sperm-associated antigen 8-like, with no coding region annotated. Lineage: Eukaryota; Metazoa; Chordata; Lepidosauria; Squamata; Viperidae. The record is from RefSeq and is a predicted model, not a curated record. The transcript has 7 exons.